RNAcentral lists this ribosomal RNA (253 nucleotides) under uncultured bacterium. Its description in RNAcentral is "partial 16S ribosomal RNA". It matches the Rfam family "Bacterial small subunit ribosomal RNA", at positions 524 to 776 of the family's 1533-position model. The record is from RNAcentral.
UACGUAGGGCGCAAGCGUUGUCCGGAAUUAUUGGGCGUAAAGAGCUCGUAGGUGGUUUGUCGCGUCUGUCGUGAAAGCCCGGGGCUUAACUCCGGGUCUGCGGUGGAUACGGGCAGACUAGAGGCAGGUAGGGGAGAACGGAAUUCCCGGUGUAGAGGUGAAAUUCGUAGAUAUCGGGAGGAACACCGGUGGCGAAGGCGGCGACCUGGGUAGAUACUGACGCUGAGGUGCGAAAGCGUGGGGAGCAAACGGG